CUGCCGUCAAGACUCACCACUUCCCACCUGUACACUGCUGUCUGUCCUCAUUUCAAGUGAAUCACCUUGCGGUCUUCUUAUGCCAGGUUCAGAGCUCAUGCCAGACGCUGUGGAAGGAUUGUUUUUUGACUCUCUAAUACUGUGGAAGAAAAAGAGAUCUUCCAGAUAUCAGAGUUCUCCUGACAGCUGAAGAAGUGAUGGAUGAGCUGGGGUCUCAAUUCAUCAGAACAUCAAGAUUUAUCUGCUUUAUGGCAAGACCCU
This 261-nucleotide long non-coding RNA is filed under the name Homo sapiens (human). RNAcentral describes it as "HSALNT0118127". The record is from RNAcentral. Lineage: Eukaryota; Metazoa; Chordata; Mammalia; Primates; Hominidae.